GCCCACCUAGGCGACGAUCCCUAGCUGGUCUGAGAGGAUGACCAGCCACACUGGAACUGAGACACGGUCCAGACUCCUACGGGAGGCAGCAGUGGGGAAUAUUGCACAAUGGGCGCAAGCCUGAUGCAGCCAUGCCGCGUGUAUGAAGAAGGCCUUCGGGUUGUAAAGUACCUUCAGCGGGGAGGAAGGCGGUGAGGUUAAUAACCUUGCCGAUUGACGUUACCCGCAGAAGAAGCACCGGCCAACUCCGUGCCAGCAGCCGCGGUAAUACGGAGGGUGCAAGCGUUAAUCGGAAUUACUGGGCGUAAAGCGCACGCAGGCGGUCUGUUAAGUCAGAUGUGAAAUCCCCGGGCUUAACCUGGGAACUGCAUUUGAAACUGGCAGGCUUGAGUCUCGUAGAGGGGGGUAGAAUUCCAGGUGUAGCGGUGAAAUGCGUAAAGAUCUGGAGGAA
RNAcentral lists this ribosomal RNA (451 nucleotides) under uncultured Pantoea sp. Its description in RNAcentral is "bacterial SSU rRNA". It matches the Rfam family "Bacterial small subunit ribosomal RNA", at positions 263 to 706 of the family's 1533-position model. Lineage: Bacteria; Pseudomonadati; Pseudomonadota; Gammaproteobacteria; Enterobacterales; Erwiniaceae. The record is from RNAcentral.